Molecule: ribosomal RNA, 652 nt
Filed under: uncultured bacterium
Lineage: Bacteria
Description: bacterial SSU rRNA
Rfam family: Bacterial small subunit ribosomal RNA
Source: RNAcentral
GGAAACGGCGACUAAUACCCCAUAUGCUGCGAUGCUGCAUGGCAUUGCAAUGAAAGAUUCAUCGGUGGCGGAUAGGCUCGCGGGACAUUAGCUAGACGGCGGGGCAACGGCCCACCGUGGCGACGAUGUCUAGGGGUUCUGAGAGGAAGACCCCCCACACUGGGACUGAGACACGGCCCAGACUCCUACGGGAGGCAGCAGUGAGGAAUAUUGGUCAAUGGGCGGAAGCCUGAACCAGCCAUGCCGCGUGAAGGACUAAGGCCCUACGGGUCGUAAACUUCUUUAGACGCAGAGCAAUAAGGUCCACGAGUGGACCGAUGAGAGUAUGCGUAGAAUAAGCAUCGGCUAACUCCGUGCCAGCAGCCGCGGUAAUACGGGGGAUGCGAGCGUUAUCCGGAUUCAUUGGGUUUAAAGGGUGCGUAGGCGGCCGAGUAAGUCAGCGGUGAAAGACCGGGGCUCAACCCUGGAAGUGCCGUUGAUACUGUUUGGCUGGAAUGAUCCCGCCGCGGGAGGAAUGAGUGGUGUAGCGGUGAAAUGCAUAGAUAUCACUCAGAACACCGAUUGCGAAGGCAUCUCGCGAGGGGUCAAUUGACGCUGAGGCACGAAAGCGUGGGGAUCGAACAGGAUUAGAUACCCUGGUAGUCCACGCGGU